CUACGGGUUGCUGCAGUGGGGAAUAUUGCACAAUGGACGAAAGUCUGAUGCAGCAACGCCGCGUGGAGGAUGACACAUUUCGGUGCGUAAACUCCUUUUAUAUAGGAAGAUAAUGACGGUACUAUAUGAAUAAGCACCGGCUAACUCCGUGCCAGCAGCCGCGGUAAUACGGAGGGUGCAAGCGUUACUCGGAAUUACUGGGCGUAAAGAGCGUGUAGGCGGGUUUGUAAGUUGGAUGUGAAAUCCUAUGGCUCAACCAUAGAACUGCAUCCAAAACUGCUUACCUAGAAUAUGGGAGAGGUAGAUGGAAUUUCUGGUGUAGGGGUAAAAUCCGUAGAGAUCAGAAGGAAUACCGAUUGCGAAGGCGAUCUACUGGAACAUUAUUGACGCUGAGAUGCGAAAGCGUGGGGAGCAAACAGGAUUAGAUACCCUUGUAGUC
RNAcentral lists this ribosomal RNA (439 nucleotides) under uncultured bacterium. Its description in RNAcentral is "partial 16S ribosomal RNA". It matches the Rfam family "Bacterial small subunit ribosomal RNA", at positions 339 to 795 of the family's 1533-position model. The record is from RNAcentral.